GCGGCAGCACUGCCGGGGCGCGGCCGAUCCCCACAGGCGCCCGCGGGGCUCGGGGGCGGCGUGGCGGAGCCCUUCCCCCUCCUCCCCGGAGCAGCUUCGCAGACCCCGCUCACCCGCAACGCAGGCGGAGUCCGCCGCGGCAGUAGAGACUUUCUAACAGAGCGGCCGCCCGGCGACUUGCCUUGCCGCGCACCGGAAGUGGAGCUGGGUCGCCGGAGCCGGCCGCCGGCGGGGGCGGGUGUCUCGCAGGCCUCGCGCACACGUCACGUCCCUUCCCCGUCCCCGCGCGCUGCACCUCGGGCGCGCCCGGGCGCCAUGUUGCGGCGGGGCAAGAGCAGCCAGCGGCCGCGCUGCGAGUACCCUGCCCGGAGCGAAACGAAGACGUUGCUGUGCUAGAGAAUUGCUCUUUUCGCGUAGAGGCGAGGGAGGCUGCAGAGCUGAUUCCUCACUCCAUGGCAAGGAGGGAAGGACACCACAACGUGCCAUCAGCCGUGGCCAUCACCCGAGGAAGCGUGUUGGUGUCGAUGGCCAAGGGACCCAGGCAGGACUGUAGUAAAUUGGAAAAGGAAUAUAAAGACGUUCCCUGUGGGCUGGGAUGUGACAGCGGCAAGGCUGUGAAGCUGAUGUGUCACAGCAUCAAGUUCUUCUGAAAGUUUGACAAGUGACUUUGCUUUUGUUCUGGCUGAUAAUAUUUAUAAUCUGUAAACCCCCAAAAGAGAAGGUUUGUCUGCUGAAGAAGUGCCAGAGGCAUCAGUUGUACUUGUGUAUGAUUGAUGGUAUCCUCAUUCACUCUUUUUUGCCUGUGAUCGUUGAAUAGUUACUAUUGCUUGCCAGAGAGUCAGGAUGACAUUUUUCUAAUUGUUGUUAUUUUGAUUUAAGCCUGGGUAGAGAAAGGAACAGGUAAGGCCUGUUAUUGCAUAAAUGCUUUUGUAUCUGCAGUAUUCUGAGGGCUCCUGUACAGGGAUUUAUUUUGCUGGCAUUUUUUUUAACCAUAAACUGAGCAGAUUACUGAUCCUUUUCUUUUUGGCUUUCUUGUCUGUCUGUGGUAAAUGGUAAAUACAUAUUCUGUAUUUAAUGUCAACUAUUUAUGUAUUUUAAUUGUUACAUGCAAGGAUGCGCAGUCUUCAGUAAGCCUGCUCAGCUGACCAUAGCCCUGUAUUAAUUCCAUCAGGUGAUGUUCCCCAUGACUCGAAUUCUUCAAGACAUUUAAACAAGUGCUUAAAUGUGUUGCUAGGUCAACUCAUAUAUUUAAAGGUUUAUUUUUAGGCAAGUGCUUAAAUGCCUGGAUGAACUGAGACCUCUAAUGGUUAGCCUGCAGUUGGCUAUUUUAUUUAGUUACUUUAUACGGUGAACAUACACUGCUCUUUAAUAUUACUGUAUCCAAAUGAAAAAUUGGAAGACAUCAUUCAGGUGAAGGAGGAUUAUUAGACACAUGCUAUCAUGAUAGAAAAAGAAUUUUCCUUGUUAAUUUUGAUAGCUUCCUGUUAAGGAAACAUUGUUUUCUUGUAGGAUAACAAUUUUUGAUUUUUCAGAAACACACAGGUAUAUAACUUUAAACUUAAAUAGCACAGUACUACACUUUAGCUAGUCACUUAACAUUAUAGAAUAGAUUUAAUUUCUACAGUUGUUGAGGUACUGUACACACACAAGAGUGCAUUAUCCUCUGCAAGCCACUGGCACCUGUUUGGAUGUAAUGCACUCUUUCUUCUACAGUACUGACUGUAUUUAAAAUAAAGCUUCUGUGUUUCACA
RNAcentral lists this long non-coding RNA (1751 nucleotides) under Apteryx owenii (little spotted kiwi). Its description in RNAcentral is "lncRNA (ENSAOWG00000008880.1)". The record is from RNAcentral. Lineage: Eukaryota; Metazoa; Chordata; Aves; Apterygiformes; Apterygidae.